Long non-coding RNA from Eriocheir sinensis (Chinese mitten crab), 2835 nucleotides. RefSeq lists it as uncharacterized. Lineage: Eukaryota; Metazoa; Arthropoda; Malacostraca; Decapoda; Varunidae. The record is from RefSeq and is a predicted model, not a curated record. The transcript has 5 exons.
UGUAUUUUUACGUUCAUGGUACAGAGGAAGGGUCAAACUACCACCAGGGUCAUUGAAUACCCCUGAAAAUGCUUACAACGCCUACGGAAGCCUUGUCAAAUACGUGUUUAUAGGUGACGAGUUUUGACCCCGCGCCGUAUCAGCUGUUCUUAAGAGGUCAUUAAGGAGAUGAAUCGUGUUCCCGUGAGCGUCUUUUAACGUUGAUGGUACAGAGGAAGGGUCAAGCUACCACCAGGGUCAUUAACUACCUCUGGAAAUGUCCCCCACAACGCCUACGGAAGCCUUGUCAAAUAUGUGACUCAUUGACCUCAAGCAUCAACCGCCCCCAAAAUCAUGUUACCGUUGAUGAGGUUUCAGGCCCUGCUGCUGCUCUGCUUCUAAAAGGAGCGUGACACCAAGAUGACCUACCAGAAUGUGAGCAUCGUGCUGUCGCCCACCAUGCAGAUUUCUCACCGGGUGCUCAAUGUCUUCUUCCUCAACCGUGCCUACCUCUUUGGGGGAGUCGCCAUCAAAAAGUUUUGGGCGCCCAGCCGUACACGUGAACUAACAGUCUUGGCUUCAGGGCAGGUCGCUAAAAUGGGCUGUGAGGAGGAGGAGGAGGGAGGCUGUGGUGAGGAGGAGACUUGACAACACUACCAUCGCCAUCAGGCCAGGCUAAGGCCAAGCAGUGCAGAGGAGAAGGAGGAGGAGGAGAAGAAGGAGGAAGAAGAAGAGGAGGAUGUGAGUUCUAUACAUAAAGGCAGAUCAAUAUAUAGAAGCUUAUGGAGUAGAGGAAAUAUGUCAUUCUAUGUAUUAAAGAGGAUAAGAGGGAGGAGAAGGUUAACUUGUAAAUAUAGGCAGAAGUUUAUGUGCCAAGGAAAAUAUUUAAAUGAUUUGUAUUAUGCAUGUAUUGAAAUGGUAUGAACUUGGAUGUUUGUAUGUAUAAGGCUAUGGGAUUUACUUACAAGGUCUGUAGUGGUUUUUUUACUUAUAAGGUUGUACUCAGGAUUUUACUUAUAAGUUCUGUGGCUGUGGGUACCUCCUACAAAGCCUUUCUACUAUGGCUAUUAAUUAACAAAAACCUCUUUCUUUCAGCUUGUGUACUGGCUCAGAAAGUAGUGAAAGGGUGCAUGUUAUCUAUGAAGGCUAUAUCAAUAAGUAUGGAAGUGUGUUAUGGCUAUUAACAACAAUCUCUCUUUCAGCAUGUGUACGGGGAUAGAAAGUUACUUGGCAUAUAUUGAAAUGUCAUGCACUGAGAGUAUUUACGUAAAGGGCCGGGGUUAUUUCUUGUAAGGUACUGCGCAUGAUUUUACAUAUACAGCCUUUAGUGUUUCUUUAGGUUAAGGUAUUUCCUAUCCCAGCACGUAUAAGAAACUUGGGUAUGGAUUUAUGUGUGAGUUACUGAGUUGCAUGUAUACUAAAAUGUGUAUUUGGGAUUUUCGUCUUCUGUGUUUUAUAUAUGUAUAUCCUAAGAAUGGUGUUUUGUUGGGAAAAAAUGUUAUGCACUGGGGUUAUUUAUAUACAAAGUCUGUGGUUAUUUCUUCAAAAGGUAUUUCCUAUCCCAGUACGUAUAAGGAACUUGGUAUGGAUUGAAAUGUGCGUGUUACUGAGUUGCAUGUGUAUGUGCACUCAAUGUAUUGGGGUAUAUAUUGUGUAUUGGGGGUAUUUAUUUCAAGGUUAAAGUACUGAAUGGAGGGGAAUUUAUGUAGGGGAAAGGUCUGUAGUGGGGGUGUCGUAACUAACAACCUCUCCUGCAACAACUCCUACUGGUGCUUGUGUAUAGAUUUAAUUAUGUAUUGGAGAUAUGUAUUUGAAGGUUAAGAUGCUGGAUGGAAGGGUAUUUAUGUUGGGGUAAUAUGAUAAUGUCUGUAGGGAUUUGUCUUAACUUAACAACCCCUUCUGCAAUAGCUACUACUACUACUGGUGCUGUCCAUAACUUACAACACUUCCGUACUAGGAGUAUUAACAAAACCUUUUAAUUUCAGCUACCAAGGACAACCUCUUCUGCUCCGGGUAUCAACUCCUGCACUCCUGGGACUGGCAUAACAUCUGCAUGCCCUUGUAACAACUCACUCUGCUUCUGCUAUUCAUAACACCCCAUUCUGCGUCUGCUGUUGUAACAUGUAACAAAGGGCAUGGCUUCUGUAUACUAACUCCUGCUCGCAUAACCCACAUGGAUUUACACUUCUCUCUCUGCUUCUGGCCUUCGUAUCAACACAUUCUGCGCCUUCCUUCGUAACUAAUCCCACGGCUUCUCUGCAUGACAACUCCGGCUGCUUACGGCAAAAUUUCGCAUAACAAUUACUCCUGCUUACGUAUGACAAUUCUCUUUUGCUUUCGUAACAGCACGUAUGGCUUUUGCAUGUGAACGCAUUUCAUUUCUGCUGCGCACUAACCCACACUGCUGCUUUGAGUAUCCUAACGACCUAACCCGUUCUGUAAGCUGCCGCCCAGUGCUUCAGGUGACCCCUAACAAGCCUGUCGGAUCGGCGUCUAGCGAGGGAGGUUCUGUCAGGUUCCGUUCCCUGCUAGAGCUGUCUCCCUUCACCUUAAAAAAAAUAGUUUGAUAUAAUUUGAGAGCAGCAGUACAGGCCAGGUAUCAGAGAGGGGUUCAGGCCUAUAUGGGGACACCUCUGUUAGGCUUGUACCUCAAUAAAUAACUAGAAAAAAGUUGGAAAGUGUUAAACAAUGACCAUACGUAACCUAGUCAUGUGUGAAUCCUGACUAUGGAGGGAGAUUAUCCUCAAACACGUACGGUUAUAUAUAUAUACAUGUCUUUUACCCACCCAUGCGUGCAGUACGGGUGGUGAACUCUGACCUCUAUGAAAUAAAUAUACGUAACAGGAAAAAAAUAAA